CUAAGGAAUAAUUCGGAACCUUACAUUAAUCAAAAUCUUGGUCAGUUUUGAGAGUAUCUACUCUCUUAAUUUUGUUCUUUGAAAACUAGAUAAUAUUAUUUUCUGUAAUAAUUAUAUUUUUAUAUAUAAUUGAACCGAGAAAUAACCAUUGUGUUAUUUUUGAGUUUUUUAAUUAGUUUUAAUCGCUAAAACUCAAAUAAUUUAUAAUCCGUAGGAUUAUA
Molecule: unclassified non-coding RNA, 221 nt
Filed under: Fructilactobacillus sanfranciscensis
Lineage: Bacteria; Bacillati; Bacillota; Bacilli; Lactobacillales; Lactobacillaceae
Description: Lactobacillus sanfranciscensis miscellaneous RNA
Source: RNAcentral